RNAcentral lists this long non-coding RNA (512 nucleotides) under Homo sapiens (human). Its description in RNAcentral is "non-protein coding lnc-MED10-13:4". Lineage: Eukaryota; Metazoa; Chordata; Mammalia; Primates; Hominidae. The record is from RNAcentral.
UCAUCUUAUUUUUUUACUUACAGGUUAUUAACACGGGGAUCAAAGUCUGGUGUAGAAAUAACAGCGGUGAAGAGUUUGACUGUGCUUUCCGGCUGGCACAGGAGGGAAUAUAUACAUUGUAUCCAUUUAUUAACUCAAGAAUUAUUACUGUAUCAAUGGAAGAUGUUAAGAUACUGUUGACCCAGGAAAAUCCCUUUUUUAGAAAACUCAGCAGUGAGACCUACAGUCAAGCAAAGGACCUGGGUGAGUAGUUGGAAAUGCAUAGAGACAUAACUUGUAUUCCCUUUAUAAGGCCAGCAAAAAUGCAGGUGGUGUGCGUUGGGGCAUAUUUAUCAAUCAUAGUUUUCAGUUUAUUUAUGGCUACAUCAAUUUCCAGAGGGUUCUGUAGAUCCCUGAUUGACAGUUCAGAAUGCUAAGGGUCAAAGGCAUCUUGGGGUUGGUGUACUUCCCCAGGCUCUGGUGGUGCCCUGCUGCUGCCCAGCAGCCUGUGGUGUGUCUGUGUGGCGUGCAGG